This is a long non-coding RNA of Scomber japonicus (chub mackerel), 269 nucleotides long. RefSeq lists it as uncharacterized. The transcript is spliced from 3 exons. The record is from RefSeq and is a predicted model, not a curated record. Lineage: Eukaryota; Metazoa; Chordata; Actinopteri; Scombriformes; Scombridae.
UGGUGAACCUGGAGUCUCUUUGACAGUCACAGGCCUCCAAGUGCAUGUUGGACCAUCUUCACCCACCAGGACAGAGCUGACAUGUCACAAUAAUUGUCAGCUGCUUGAUUAUCCUUCCUAUGUCUGGUACAAGAAUGGCCAACCAACUGAGGAGAAGACAGGUUACUUUUAUCAGAACCAAAUUAAUCCUGAUGACUACUACUCUUGUGCUCUAUCAGGAUACGAGUCUUUCUGCUCUCCUCCAGUGUAUGCUCCAAAGCUUCCCUCUG